AUGGGUGAACAGGCUGUAUUAGGGCCAAAAUCAAAUGCUGAUUCAGACUUUAGACAAAGGGCCCUGGCCUAUUUUGAGCGGUUAAAGAUUUCCCCAGAUACCUGGCAGGUGUGUGCACAGAGGCUGUAGCCCAGAGGACAUAUAGUGAUGAACAUGUAAAGUUUUUCUGCUUUCAAGUGCUGGAACAUUAAGUUAAAUACAAAUACUCAGAACUAACCACGGUUCAACAACAACUAAUUAGGGAGACGCGCAUAUCAUGGCUGCAAGCUCAGAUGCUGAAUCCCCAACCAGAGAAGACCUUUAUACGAAAUAAAGCCGCCCAAGUCUUCGCCUUGCUUUUUGUUACAGAAUAUCUCACUAAGUGGCCCAAGUAUUUUUGUUUACAUUCUCUCAGUAGUGGACCUAAAUCCAAGGGGAGUAGAUGUGUGCCUGCGAAUCCUCAUGGCUAUCGAUUCAGAGUUGGUGGAUCGUGAUGUGGUGCAUACGUCAGAGGAGGCUCGUAGGAAUACUCUCAUUAAAGAUACCAUGAGGGAACAGUGCAUUCCAAAUCUGGUGGAAUGAUGGUACCAAAUAUUACAAAAUUAUCAGUAUACUAAUUCUGAAGUGACCGUCAGUGCUUUGAAGUAGUUGGGGCUUACGUCUCUUGGAUAGACUUACCCCUUAUAGCCAAUGAUAGGUUUAUAAGUGUGCUGCUAGGUCAUAUGUCAAUAGGAGUUCUACGGGAAGAAGCAUGUGACUGUUUAUUUGAAGUUGUAAAUAAAGGAAUGGACCCUGUCGAUAAAAUGAAACUAGUAGAAUCUUUGUGCCAAGGAUUACAGUCUGCUGGGUCUUUCAGCAUUGACCAGGAAGAAGAUGUUGACUUCCUGGCCAGAUUUUCUAAGCUGGUAAAUGGAAUGGGACAGUAAUUGAUUGAUAGUUGGAGUAAAUUAAUUAAGAAUGCGGAUAUUAAGAAUGCUCAAGAGGCACUACAAGCUAUUGAAACAAAAGUGGCACUGAUGUUGCAGCUACUAAUUCAUGAGGAAGAUGAUAUUUCUCCUAAUAUUAUAGGAUUUUGUUAUUAUUAUCUUCAUAUUUGGAAACAGCUUACAGUGCUCUUGGAUCAGCAAAAAGCUAAUGUAGAGGCAAUCAUGUUGGCCGUUAUGAAAAAAUUGACUUACGAUGAAGAAUAUAACUUCGAAAAUGAGGGUGAAGAUGAAGCCAUGUUUGUAGAAUAUAGAAAACAACUGAAGUUACUGUUGGACAGGCUUGCUCAAGUUUCACCAGAGUUACUGGUGGCCUCUGUUCACAGCGUUUUUAGUUCUACACUGCAGGAUUGGCAGACUACAUGGUUUAUGGAAGUUGAAGUAGCAAUAAGAUUGCUGUAUAUGUUGGCAGAAGCUCUUCUAGUAUCUCACGGUGUUCCAUUUGCAGGUGAUGUUUCAAAAGCCAGUGCUUUGCAGGAUAUGAUGAGAAUUCUGGUAACAUCAAGAGUCAGUUCCUAUCAGCAUACAUCUGUGACGUUGGAGUUCUUCAAAAAUGUUGUUAGAUAUGAAAAGUUUUUCACAGUUGAACCUCAGCACAUUCCACGUGUACUAAUGGCUUUCUUAGAUCACAGAAGUCUGCGGCAUUCCAGUGCAAAAGUUCGGAGCAGGAUGGCUUACCUGUUUUCUAGAUUUGUCAAAUCUCUCAAUAAGCAAAUGAAUCCUCUCACUGAGGAUAUUUUGAAUAGAAUACAAGAUUUAUUAGAGCUUUCUCCACCUGAGAAUGGCCACCAGUCUUUACUGGGCAGCGAUGAUCAACUUUUUAUUUAUGAGACAGCUGGAGUGCUGACUGUUAAUAGUGAAUACCUGGCAGAAAGGAAACAAGCCUUGGUGAGGAAUCUGUUGACUCCACUAAUGGAGAAGUUUAAAAUUCUGUUAGAAUAGUUGAUGCUGGCACAAGAUGAAGAUAGGCAAGCCUCUCUAGCAGACUGUCUCAACCAUGCUGUUGGAUUUGCAAGUCCAACCAGUAAAGCUUUCAGCAACAAGCAGACUAUAAAACAAUGUGGCUGUUCUGAAGUUUGUCUGGACUGUUUACAGACAUUCCUGCCAGCCCUCAGUUGUCCCUUACAAAAGGAUAUUCUCAGAAGUGGAGUCCGUACUUUCCUUCAUCGAAUGGUUAUUUGCCUGGGGGAAGAAGUUUUUCCGUUCAUCCCAGCUGCUUCAGAACGUAUGCUCAAAGAUUGUGAAGCAGAAGACCUCCAGGAGUUCAUUCUUCUUAUCAACCAGAUUACGGCCAAAUUCAAGAGACAGGUAUCUCCGUUUUUACAACAGAUGUUCAUGCCCCUGCUUCAUGCAAUUUUUGAAGUGCUGCUCCAGCCAGCGGAAGAAAAUGACUAGUCUGCUGCUUUAGAGAAGCAGAUGUUGUGGAGGAGUUACUUUGCUUUCCUGCAAACAGUCACAGGCAGUGGGAUGAGUGAAGUUAUAGCAAAUCAAGCUGCACAAAAUGUAGAGUGCUGGUUACUGUUACCCAAGGAGCAGUUGAAUAUCCAGAUCCAAUUGCACAGAAAACAUGUUUUAUCAUCCUCUCAAAGUUGGUGGAACUCUGGAGAGGUAAAGAUGGACCAGUGGGAUUUGCUGAUUUUGUUUAUAAGCACAUUGUCCCCUCAUGUUUCCUAGCACCUUUAAAACAAACCUUUGACCUGGCAGAUGCACAAACAGUAUUGGCUUUAUCUGAGUGUGCAGUGACACUGAAAACAAUUCAUCUCAAAUGGGGCCCAGAAUGUGUUCAGUAUCUUCAACAAGAAUACCUGCCCUCCUUGCAAGUAGCUCCAGAAAUAAUUCAGGAGUUUUGUCAAGCGCUUCAGCAGCCUGAUGCUAAAGUUUUAAAAAAUUACUUAAAGGUGUUCUUCCAGAGAGCAAAGCCC
RNAcentral lists this long non-coding RNA (2884 nucleotides) under Homo sapiens (human). RNAcentral describes it as "non-protein coding lnc-SUMF2-10:1". The record is from RNAcentral. Lineage: Eukaryota; Metazoa; Chordata; Mammalia; Primates; Hominidae.